UUUGGCUGGGCCAUUGUUUGGACCAGGGUGGAUUUCCAGCAGAGACGUGGUCAGAGGACAGCUGCUCCCUGUGGCCCACCCCCGGCUCCCAGGAGCAGGUCAGAGCAGAACACUUGUGAGGUGCAAUGAGGGUCCUCAGUUGAACCUCUUUCCUGGAGGGGAGAGCAGGAGCUUCGUCAGCACAUGGUCAUGACCAGCCAAGUCCAGACAAGCAGCUGAGCCUAGGCCAGAAGCCCCAGGUGCCAUUCUGUCCUCAGGGUGGUGGUGGCAAUGAGUGACAAGAGCUGACUGCUUCCUCUGAGCACCUCACCUCCACUUCCCCAGAUCAGCUAAGGUCCUCUCUUGGCAGGUGAGAAGAAGGACUUCAGGGACAUUUCCUGCAGACGGCAUGCUAGAUGCUGGGCUCGGCGCCGGUUUUAAAAACAUGCAAACAAACAAAAAGCCCCCAAGGGAGACUGUCCUGUAAAUAAAUAACCAAGGCUCACCGUAUAGAGUGCAGUAAUAGAGGAUGCUGUCAAUUGCAAGAAGCCCCAUGGAUUUAAGGACAUUCAAAAAAAGGGUUUUUUUUGAGGAGGAAGAAACAUGGCCACAUUAAACAAAUCCAUCAACGCAUUCACUUUUUUAGAAAUAUUAAUAUAUGAAAAAAUGCACAUCUUAGAAUUAGGAAAAUUCUUCUUGGUUCUUGUCAGCCUCCAGAAAAACUUGGCUGUCCCGGAAGAUGUGCGAUGUUUGCCCCUGGCUCCGUGUCCCCAUCAUACAGAAGUGGGGAGCACAGGAUGAGGUCACGCUUUUUGUGAGUUGGACCCCCGGUUUUCCCAGGGAGAAUUUUUUCUGUUCACGCAGAAUGCUCAGGGGCUGGAGUUCCAGGUAGUCAAGUCAUUCUGGUUAAAUAAGGGUCACUCUCAAUACAUUUAAAAUUUUAGAGUUUUGAGGUUAGAAAUUGUCUAAAAGAUAAUCUCAUCCAUAAGCAUCUAAUGAAUACCUAAUAUGGACCUGUCUCUCUACAUUUAUAUUGUCGUCUCCAGAACAUUCUCACGCUAACAGUUGAUGAUUUCACAGAGUUCCUCGGGGGCUUUGUCACUGACACCAGUUUUCUAGAACUAGAAGUUGAAGUGGCAGAUGGGGCUGAAUGAGAAUCGAUACCAUUGGUGUGUUAUCUCAUUUGUUUCUUACAACACUGAGGAUAUUCUUUCCAUAGAUAUUCUCAUUAGACCAAGGAAGAAAUUGAGGCUCUGACUGGUUAAGCUCCUUGCCUGGCACCACCAUGUGCCUAGCGAGUGGCAGAGCAGGCCCUCCACCAGGCUCCCCUGCGCUCGGUCCCCAGGCUGCCCUCUUCUUUGUGUGGCUUCUGUGGUGUGGGAAACACCUGAGCAGCUUUGGUUUUGUUUGUUUGUUCCAACAAAACCAGAUUCCUUUUUUUUUUUUGCAUCUUUUCCCUACACUGAAGGCCAACCCCCAAAUAACUCCAAGACGUUGAGGAGAGAGAGCCCUCUGGGCUGUGUGUGGCUCUAUGACAAGGGCCUGUUUAAGUGCAUUCGGUAAGUAGCUAUUUGUUUCAGCCCCAUCUGUGUGCUCGGCAUGGGGCAAACAAGUCACAAAAGUGGGCUCCAUGUUGCCCUCCACAGUGUCCUCUUGCCUGUCUGUAAACUCCUCAAGGGCAGGCCCUGGUAACCACACAUCUACACAGGACCAAGUCACACCUGAACUCUGCCAGGCUGCCUCAGCCUGCCCCCGAGGCGCCCCCUGUCGGUGGGAAGAUGGGCAGGUGGGCUGUGAACCCAUCUGCUAACACAGCAGUGUGAGCUCAGUGUGGCUGAAGAGCUGCCAGAGCUCAGAGGAGGGCUCCAUGAAUCUAGCGGACCAGAGGCGGAGGGUGGGGUCAGUGUGGGGGGAUAGAUCGCUGAGGAGGUGACAUCUGAAGGAUGAAAGAAAUUCCCCAGAGGGAUGGAGGGCAUUCCUAGCAGGGGAACAGCAUGAGCAAAGCUCAAGUCUUGGGAGUACACAGCACAUAGAGGAUGGUAUGGGUAUGAAAGUGUAUGUGUGUGUGUGUGUGAGAGAGAGAGGCUCCUAUUUGUGUUCAUCUAUCUUUCCUUGGUCUCUGGCUUCCCCCGUGAGACCCUUCCCCAGGGCUCUUGGUCUAGCCCUGAACUCUAUGGGCCACUCGUGCUCCCCUCUGGGCUCAGAGCUUCUGCACUUCAGCCCCACAGUGCUUCCCUGUUCCCUCAGCAGCUCCCCGCCUUGACUUUGUUCUUCCUAAGCCUGCCCUCAGCUUGGCCUCCAGAAGGACACUUGAUCCCAUCCCAUGACUGGCGGUGGGGUGCGGCCCUCAGAGCAGCUGCAAGGAUGUUGACUCCAGAUGGAAAGUGUUUCGAGAAUUCUGACGUGACAUCACACCAUCACGACAUUGCGCUGACAGUAACUGAUCUGGGAGUGGCCAGGCAAAGGAAAGCACAAAUGUGACGUUAAACACACAGAGGAGACCCCACAUCAGUGACUCACACAGAUGCUGCCAAGGAUCCAGCUGCUUCACACUGUGCAGACAAGAUGGGGGUCUGCAAGCCCGCGUGCGCCGGCAGGGCCCGAGAAGACUGCUGGAGAUUCUGUUUGCGCAUGAAGACACUGUAGGCUCCUCUGGCAGUCUACACCCAAGAGAGAUGGUGGGGAAGGCUUUGGGGCUGAUGGACCAGCUGUGAGGGACCAAGGACAAUCUUCGGGAAGGGGAGAAGAAGAGCAGGCCUGCCCCAGGUCUGGAGCACCAGAUAUAUAAGGUGAGACCAGAACAGCUUGUACCAGAAGACAAGAAAGUUAUCGAACACCACUGGGGUCAUGUCAAAAGGACUCAGGUGCCGACCUGAAGGAGCUCCCACUGGACAAAAUGGCAUCGUUUGUGCUUCAAAAACAAAACUAAACAAACAAACAAAGACCCUGCAAUGAAUUGAAAUACAUCAAAUAUUUUAAAACUCCAUGAGUUCAAGAUGAUAAUUAAAAAAAGACACUUGGAGGAUGCUUAGAAAAAACCAACUCACUCUUCCAAAAAUUGAUAAAGGGAAAGCGAACUCUGGGGCUUCCCAAUGAUAUUGUGAAGUUGCACAUUCGUUGGAAGGCCUCCCAUGUACUCCCAAGACUCUCCCUCUGGCUUUCUCCAGGCCUAAAUUUCCACCAUUAGAGACUCCUUUCUUUGGGUUAAGAAAUGUCCUGAGUCAAAGCCAAAGUACGCUUGGGAAAAGUUUGUUAACUACUUUGCUCACAGAUUGGGAUGGAGAAAAAGUGGAAAAUCCUAUGGUCCCUGGAGUCCGACAGAUAGGGAUCCAGCCAGAGAGAAGGAGCUGAGGGUCAAAGAACUUGGCAGCAUCAUCCAGGGCAGGAGGACUACCUGGGCUGCCUAUCCAAAGUUCAGCUCCUCAGUAGACACCUCAGGUGGUGUCUGAUCCAGCAGGUGGAAAGAAUGGCAGAAAUAUACAUUUUAUUACACAUCUCAGGUGACUCGGACACAGGUGGUGCUGCCACUGUUUUCCAGGGGACGCUGGACCAGAGCUCCUGGAUCUUUCCUGUUGGCCUGUGUGACUUUCUGCUCCAGCGGCACUGGGCUGUCACAGCUGAGCAAUUCCAGCCUCUGCAAACUUCACCAGGCCCCUCAGCCCGGGAUCUCUUUACUAUUGCCAGGUCCCUUUAAGAUUCCAAGCCCUUCCCUGUGUGGGGAAGCCAGCACCGUGUAGAAGGGACCCAGCCACGUGAGUCCCAGUGUAGGCUCUGAGCUACCUGCCCUCACCCUCUCCCACAGCUUCCUGAGCUGUCCUGACACGCCCAGAUUCUCACGUGACAGUCCGCUCACUCCUGGCCCCUGACGCUUGACAAUAUUUCUUGGGCUUUGCUGGGCCUGGGACCCUGCGUCUCAGCCCAGGCCCCAAGAUGCCCUUGGUCCUGGGGUCCCUCUCUCCUCUCUGAUGCCCUCAUGGGACCCUCAUGGGCAGAAGGCUUUUUGCAGCCCUGCUCACCAGCUCUGUGCCUCAGCCAGAUUUGUGGCUGGGCUACCCUCACUCCGGAGUCGGCCAACCACCCUCACCAUCCUCCUUCCCACCCUACCACCUCCUCCAGCCCCCUCCUAUCCCUUGGGCUCUUCCAGUCCCUCCCCCCCCUGCUGAGAUGAGCACCCGUAUUCCAGGCCCGAGUCCAUCCUGCCCUAGUAACACUCCUCAGCCCACCUCUUCCCCAGGGACCCAGCGCCCAGUUUGGGGCUGACCUUCUGAAUCCCACCCCCAUACGCCCAGCCUUGACUGACGGGCCCAGGCCAAGCUUCCCUGUUCUGACCCCUGGCCUUUGCCUGACCCCAUGGGCAGGCCUGGGUGCCAGCCUCUGCCCUCCCUGGCUGGCCUGUCCCCCUGCCGCCUGAGCCUGGGUCGUGACAUCUUUCCACCUAGCGGCUUUUAUUUUGAGAAGGCAAACACAGCGGCACCCACAGGCAUGUGCACACACACACAUGCACCCCCUCCAUGCCCCGACACCUCACGCACUGGCAUGAAAAUCAGGCUGGCCAUGUUUAUUUUUCUUCCGUUAAUUUCCCCUGUAGAACGAACACCCGUCCUGUAACACCCCCCACCCCCUUCUUGCAGAUCCGAGGCUCCCCCCGCCCUCUUCUGUGUCCUCCCUUCGCAGCUGUGAAUGAGAACAGAGUGAGUCUUUUAGCAGGAGGCAGCGGCCUGAAUGAACCGAUCGUGGCCUCAAAGCCAGCGGGGAAGGAGGGGUUGUGAGCAUGUGUGUUUGCGUCUCAGAAACUCUUUGCACACCCCCAAGCUCAGAUUUUUCCAUGUGCCUUGGAGCGAAUGCCUCCCCAUCUCACCCCCUCCUUUUCAAUUUUAUUUUAUUUCAUUUUUGGUCCCAUGCAUUUUGUUUUCUGUUUUCUACAAGGGAGCCUGAAUCGGGGCCUCAGAAAAACAAGGCUGAGCUGCCAACUGGAAAUGUUUGCUCUGGGGGCGAGUUCGGAGGCUGGCGUCAGGCGGGGCCAGAUCCGUGCCAGCGGAAUGUGAUUUGGGGGGGAAGCUGCAGGUCACUCAAUCGCUGGCAGCCUGCCCGGGAGCAACUGGAUGCUUUCUGGGCUGUGUGUGUAUGUGUAGACUUUUUUCCCUCAUGCAAAUAGAGCCCUGGAGACGUGGAGACAGAAGCAUUAGGAAGAAACUAG
Equus caballus (horse) is the source of this 5176-nucleotide long non-coding RNA. RefSeq lists it as uncharacterized. Lineage: Eukaryota; Metazoa; Chordata; Mammalia; Perissodactyla; Equidae. The record is from RefSeq and is a predicted model, not a curated record.